UCGAGAAUCUUCCGCAAUGGACGAAAGCCUGACGGAGCGACGCCGCGUGAGUGAUGAAGUCCUUCGGGACGUAAAACUCUUUUAUGAGGGAGGAAGUAAUUGACGUUACCUCAUGAAUAAGGGGCUCCUAACUCUGUGCCAGCAGGAGCGGUAAUACAGAGGCCCCAAGCAUUAUCCGGAAUCACUGGGCGUAAAGGGUGUGUAGGUGGUCGUAUUAGUCGACUGUAAAAGAUCUUGGGCUUAACCCAGAAAACGCAACCGAAACGGUACGACUUAGAGGAUGUGAGAGGUACAGGGAACUCAUGGUGUAGGGGUGAAAUCCGUUGAUAUCAUGGGGAACACCAAAUGCGAAGGCACUGUACUGGCGCAUUCCUGACACUGAAACACGAAAGCGUGGGGAUCGAACGGGAUUAGAUACCCCCGUAGUCC
Molecule: ribosomal RNA, 429 nt
Filed under: uncultured bacterium
Lineage: Bacteria
Description: bacterial SSU rRNA
Rfam family: Bacterial small subunit ribosomal RNA
Source: RNAcentral